Molecule: non-coding RNA, 109 nt
Organism: Gossypium raimondii (Peruvian cotton)
Lineage: Eukaryota; Viridiplantae; Streptophyta; Magnoliopsida; Malvales; Malvaceae
Source: Rfam
UUUUUUGCUGAUGCAGCAUCUUCAAGAUUCACAUGCAAAGUAUAGUACGGCCAGGCCAUAGCUUUUGUUUGAAGCAUGAGAAUCUUGAUGAUGCUGCAUCGGCCAUUAA